Danio rerio (zebrafish) is the source of this 113-nucleotide non-coding RNA. Lineage: Eukaryota; Metazoa; Chordata; Actinopteri; Cypriniformes; Danionidae. The record is from Rfam.
UCCGGCAGCUAGCUCUCUGCAACUCUCAAGUUCACCCACUGAAGCUAAGCAGGGCAGCGCCUGGUCAGUACCUGGAUGGGAGGCCACAUGUGGAAGCUAGGUUGCUGCUGUAA